AUUGAACGCUGGCGGAAUGCUUUACACAUGCAAGUCGAGCGGCAGCACGAGGGUAACCCUGGUGGCGAGCGGCGAACGGGUGAGUAAUACAUCGGAACAUGCCCAGUCGUGGGGGAUAACACUUCGAAAGAAGUGCUAAUACCGCAUACGUCCUGAGGGAGAAAGCGGGGGAUCGCAAGACCUCGCGCGAUUGGAGUGGCCGAUGUCAGAUUAGCUAGUUGGUGGGGUAAAGGCCUACCAAGGCAACGAUCUGUAGCUGGUCUGAGAGGAUGAUCAGCCACACUGGGACUGAGACACGGCCCAGACUCCUACGGGAGGCAGCAGUGGGGAAUUUUGGACAAUGGGGGCAACCCUGAUCCAGCCAUUCCGCGUGAGUGAAGAAGGCCUUCGGGUUGUAAAGCUCUUUCGGCAGGAACGAAACGGUGAGCUCUAACAUAGCUUGCUAAUGACGGUACCUGAAGAAGAAGCACCGGCUAACUACGUG
This 484-nucleotide ribosomal RNA is filed under the name uncultured bacterium. Its description in RNAcentral is "bacterial SSU rRNA". It matches the Rfam family "Bacterial small subunit ribosomal RNA", at positions 30 to 507 of the family's 1533-position model. The record is from RNAcentral.